Molecule: non-coding RNA, 175 nt
Organism: Lepisosteus oculatus (spotted gar)
Lineage: Eukaryota; Metazoa; Chordata; Actinopteri; Semionotiformes; Lepisosteidae
Source: RefSeq, a predicted model, not a curated record
AGAACAAUACAGUAUUACCUUCAAACAUCCUAAUAUGAUGACUCUGUUUAUUUGGUUUCAUUUACUGAUUAUAGUUGGAGUUCAUGUAAGAUCAGAAGUGUCAGGUCUCCUUCAAAAACCUUACAUAGAGUCUCCAGAGAAACAAAUGAAUAUAGAAGACACCAUUAUGAUUCGC